AUAGCGUAUAUUAAAGUUGUUGCAGUUAAAAAGCUCGUAGUUGGAUUUCAAGGUGUGCGUCUUAUGCAAAUAAGUUCGCUACCUACCAGUCCGAAAGGACUGUUACUGUGAGAAAAUUAGAGUGUUUCAAGCAGGCUAUUGCAGGAAUACAUUAGCAUGGAAUAACGAAUGGGUCUAGAAUCUUGGUUAAUUCUAGAUUACGAUUAAUAGGGACAGUUGGGGGCAUUAGUAUUUAAUUGUCAGAGGUGAAAUUCUUGGAUUUGUUAAAGACUAACGUAUG
RNAcentral lists this ribosomal RNA (280 nucleotides) under uncultured eukaryote. RNAcentral's name for it is "partial 18S ribosomal RNA". It matches the Rfam family "Eukaryotic small subunit ribosomal RNA", at positions 594 to 945 of the family's 1831-position model. The record is from RNAcentral.